CCUACGGGAGGCAGCAGUGGGGAAUAUUGCACAAUGGGGGAAACCCUGAUGCAGCAACGCCGCGUGAGUGAAGAAGGAUUUCGGUAUUGUAAGCUCUAUCAGCAGGGGAGAAAAGGACAGUACCUGACUAAGAAUCUCCGGCCAACUACGUGCCAGCAGCCGCGGUUAUACGUAGGGGGCAAGCGUUAUCCGGAUUUACUGGGUGUAAAGGGAGCGUAGACGGCUGCGUAAGUCAGAAGUGAAAGCCCGGGGCUCAACCGCGGGACUGCUGUUGAAACUGUGUAGCUAGAGUGCAGGAGAGGGAAGCGGAAUUCCUAGUGUAGCGGUGAAAUGCGUAGAUAUUAGGAGGAACACCGGUGGCGCAGGCGGCUUACUGGACUGUAACUGACGUUGAGGCUCGAAAGCGUGGGGAGCAAACAGGAUUAGAUACCCCGGUAGUC
RNAcentral lists this ribosomal RNA (440 nucleotides) under uncultured bacterium. RNAcentral describes it as "partial 16S ribosomal RNA". It matches the Rfam family "Bacterial small subunit ribosomal RNA", at positions 338 to 795 of the family's 1533-position model. The record is from RNAcentral.